CAGUAGCCGCGGUAAUACGGAGGGGGCUAGCGUUGUUCGGAAUUACUGGGCGUAAAGCGCACGUAGGCGGCUUGGUAAGUUAGAGGUGAAAGCCUGGAGCUCAACUCCAGAAUUGCCUUUAAGACUGCCGAGCUAGCAGGUGAGAGAGGUAAGUGGAAUUCCGAGUGUAGAGGUGAAAUUCGUAGAUAUUCGGAAGAACACCAGUGGCGAAGGCGGCUUACUGGCUCAUACUGGACACUGGGGUGCGAAAGCGUGGGGAGCAAACAGGAUUAGAUACCCGGGUAGUCCUUGUCUCUUAUAC
This 301-nucleotide ribosomal RNA is filed under the name uncultured bacterium. RNAcentral's name for it is "partial 16S ribosomal RNA". It matches the Rfam family "Bacterial small subunit ribosomal RNA", at positions 509 to 807 of the family's 1533-position model. The record is from RNAcentral.